Molecule: ribosomal RNA, 458 nt
Filed under: uncultured bacterium
Lineage: Bacteria
Description: partial 16S ribosomal RNA
Rfam family: Bacterial small subunit ribosomal RNA
Source: RNAcentral
CCUACGGGAGGCAGCAGUGGGGAAUAUUGCACAAUGGGGGAAACCCUGAUGCAGCGACGCCGCGUGAGUGAAGAAGUAUUUCGGUACGUAAAGCUCUAUCAGCAGGGAAGAAAAACCGGCCUUAGGGCCGCCAGACGGUACCUGACUAAGAAGACCCGGCUAACUACGUGCCAGCAGCCGCGGUAAUACGUAGGGGGCAAGCGUUAUCCGGAGUUACUGGGUGUAAAGGGGGCGUAGACGGCAGGGCAAGUCUGGAGGGAAAUGCUGGGGCCCAACCCCGGAAGUGCUUUGGAAACUGGGCAGCUGGAGUGCAGGAGAGGUAAGCGGAAUGCCUAGUGUAGCGGUGAAAUGCGUAGAUAUUAGGAGGAACACCAGUGGCGAAGGCGGCUUACUGGACUGUAACUGACGUUGAGGCUCGAAAGCGUGGGGAGCAAACAGGAUUAGAUACCCGAGUAGUC